RNAcentral lists this ribosomal RNA (387 nucleotides) under uncultured bacterium. RNAcentral's name for it is "bacterial SSU rRNA". It matches the Rfam family "Bacterial small subunit ribosomal RNA", at positions 28 to 417 of the family's 1533-position model. The record is from RNAcentral.
GACGAACGCUGGCGGCGUGCUUAACACAUGCAAGUCGAGCGGUAAGGCCCUUUCGGGGGUACACGAGCGGCGAACGGGUGAGUAACACGUGGGUGACCUGCCCUCAGCUCUGGGAUAAGCCUGGGAAACUGGGUCUAAUACUGGAUAUGACUCCACGGUGCAUGUCGUGGGGUGAAAGCCUUGUGCGGCUGAGGAUGGGCCCGCGGCCUAUCAGCUUGUCGGUGGGGUNANGGCCUACCAAGGCGACGACGGGUAGCCGGCCUGAGAGGGCGACCGGCCACACUGGGACUGAGACACGGCCCAGACUCCUACGGGAGGCAGCAGUGGGGAAUCUUGCGCAAUGGGCGAAAGCCUGACGCAGCGACGCCGCGUGAGGGAUGACGGCCU